Molecule: long non-coding RNA, 239 nt
Filed under: Rosa chinensis
Lineage: Eukaryota; Viridiplantae; Streptophyta; Magnoliopsida; Rosales; Rosaceae
Description: sRNA RchiOBHm_Chr1g0352801
Source: RNAcentral
AGAUACUGGGGGAGAGGGAUUGGAGCAAGACCACACUUGCUCUUAGGAGAUGCUUCUGUAUCAACGCCCAAUUUCCUUUUCUCAUCAGAGAGAUUUGAUCAAACAGCAAAGCUACUUAGUUUUGGGGAUGAAUUCAGAAAGAUAUUCAAGGGAGGAUUGACAAAGAACAAGCGGUUCUUUGCUUUGCUCAGCUCACCGGCAUUGAUGCAAAGAGGGAAACUCUAUGUUGGAUAUUAUGU